Molecule: ribosomal RNA, 441 nt
Filed under: uncultured bacterium
Lineage: Bacteria
Description: partial 16S ribosomal RNA
Rfam family: Bacterial small subunit ribosomal RNA
Source: RNAcentral
CCUACGGGAGGCAGCAGUGGGGGAUAUUGCACAAUGGGGGAAACCCUGAUGCAGCGACGCCGCGUGGGUGAAGAAGUAUUUCGGUAUGUAAAGCCCUAUCAGCAGGGAAGAAAGAAGACUGUACCUGACUAAGAAGCCCCGGCUAACUACGUGCCAGCAGCCGCGGUAAUACGUAGGGGGCGAGCGUUAUCCGGAUUCACUGGGUGUAAAGGGAGCGUAGACGGCCGUGCAAGCCAGGAGUGAAAGCCCGGGGCCCAACCCCGGGACUGCUCUUGGAACUGUGCGGCUGGAGUGCGGGAGGGGCAGGCGGAAUUCCUGGUGUAGCGGUGAAAUGCGUAGAUAUCAGGAGGAACACCGGCGGCGAAGGCGGCCUGCUGGACCGCGACUGACGUUGAGGCUCGAAAGCGUGGGGAGCGAACAGGAUUAGAUACCCCAGUAGUC